UUUUUUUUUUUUUGAGACGGAGUCUCGCUCUGUCACCCAGGCUGGAGUGCAGUGGCCAGAUCUCAGCUCACUGCAAGCUCCGCCUCCCGGGUUCACGCCAUUCUCCUGCCUCAGCCUCCGGAGUAGCUAGGACUACAGGCACCCGCCACCUCGCCCGGCUAGUUUUUCGUAUUUUUUAGUAGAGACGGGGUUUCACUGUGUUAGCCAGGAUGGUCUCGAUCUCCUGACCUCGUGAUCCGCCCGUCUCGGCCUCCCAAAGUGCUGGGAUUACAGGCUUGAGCCACCGCGCCCGGCCUAUUGUUAUUAUUAUUAAUUUUUUUAGAGGGAGUUUCGCUCUUGUUGCCCAGGCUGGAGUACAAUGGCGCGAUCUUGGCUCACUGCAACCUCCGCCUCCAGGGUUCAAGCGAUUCUCCCGCCGAGUAGCUGGAAUUACAGGCAUGCGCCACCAUACCCGGUUAAUUUUGUAUUUUUAGUAGAGACAAGGUUUCUCCAUGUUGGUCAGGCUGGUCUCCAACUCCUGACCUCGUGAUCAGCCCGCCCCGGUCUCCCAAAGUGCUGGGAUCACAGGCGUGAGCCACCGCGCGCGGCCCUAUUUUAUUUAUUUAUUUAGAGACGAGUCUCGCACUGUCACCGGGGUGGAGUGCAAUGGCGCGAUCUCGGCUCAUUGUAACCUCUGCCUCCCUGGUUCACGCGAUUCUCAUGUCUCAGCCUCCCGAGUAGUGGGAUUAUAGGUGCCCACCACCACACCCGACUAAUUUUUUGUAUUUUCGGUAGAGACGGAGUUUCACUAUGUUGGCCAGACUGGUCUCCAACUCCUAAUCUCGUGAUCCGCCCGUCUCGGACUCCCAAAGUGCUGGGAUUACAGGCAUGAGCCACUGCGCCCGGCCAGGACCAAGACUUUCUCAUCCUCGGAUGGUUGGGGAUGGGGGCUGGUGUGCUGCCUCUGAGAGCAAAUAAGAGGGUGGAGAGGGGAGGGGGUCAAGACACAGGGACACCUUAAAGAGCAGGGAAAGCUGAUCAAGAGGACACCUGGAGGAAGGGCCCUUCCAGAGCGGCCUGCGGAUUCCCUCAUGACUGGUUAGGCCAGGGAGCUGGCGCUCAAAGGGCCGACGGGGCGUUCCCUCCCACCUGGCACAGCAAGACAGCGCCGGGCCUCUGACUCUCUGCGGAUCCGGGUGUCCCUCCUGCUCCGUCCUCCUCCCACCCGCACCUCCAGAUCUUUCCCCACCUCAAGGCAUGGCUGCCUUCUGCCGGGCUGUAGGAAGGGCGCCACCUGGGAUUCCAAAAACCCCACAGAGGCAGGCACCCUUCCCCAGCCUGAAGCACCCCUGCGAGUCUGGCUUCUCCUGCAGGGCGAACAGCGUUUCUUACACUUUUCCCGCCAGAAUAGCCAGGCAAUAGCUGGGAGGCCCCCAGGCGCGCAGAGUCGCAGAGCGCGGAGACACAAACGGAACUCAACCCCGCGCGGGCAGGAUCGGUGGCGUACGCGUAGUUCUCACGGGCACGGGGGAUCUGAGAGGGACCUGGGGCUCUGAGCCUGACCUCACGCUCUCAAAUAAUCCCUCCCAACUCCCUCACCCCGCCCUGCUGCUUUCUCCAAGGCCCCUUUUCGGUUUAUCUCCACUUCCUUACUAACAGCGGGGACGGGAUUGGGGAGCACGGAGUCGUCCCCC
Molecule: long non-coding RNA, 1673 nt
Filed under: Macaca fascicularis (crab-eating macaque)
Lineage: Eukaryota; Metazoa; Chordata; Mammalia; Primates; Cercopithecidae
Description: lncRNA (ENSMFAG00000047379.1)
Source: RNAcentral